This 593-nucleotide ribosomal RNA is filed under the name Tuber fulgens. Its description in RNAcentral is "eukaryotic LSU rRNA". The stretch from base 231 to 384 matches the Rfam family "5.8S ribosomal RNA". The record is from RNAcentral. Lineage: Eukaryota; Fungi; Ascomycota; Pezizomycetes; Pezizales; Tuberaceae.
AAGGAUCAUUAAAAAAUGGUUUGGUCCCCUCANUAAAGGUCCUCCAGGGCAAACCUUCCUUGAGUAGCAAUUCAUGUUGUUUCUCCAGGCCAGCAGCCAUUGCUGCCCAUCCUACCGUGCCUUGGUCACAGGAUUGAGGUGCCUGGGGAGGGGUCCAAAAGCAGAAACUUUGGUGCACACAUGCUGUCUGAGUUGGUGGGCCAUGUGGCCCUGUUAAUUGAAUUAUUUAAAACUUUCAACAACGGAUCUCUUGGCUCUCGCAUCGAUGAAGAACGCAGCGAAAUGCGAUAAGUAAUGUGAAUUGCAGAAUUCAGUGAAUCAUCGAAUCUUUGAACGCACAUUGCGCCCUUUGGCAUUCCUUAGGGCAUGCCUGUUCGAGCAUCACUAGCAACCAUCUCACGGAUCCCGUGGUCUUGGUGGAAGCUUCCUGCGCCCCGUUUGGGUGCAGCAAAGCUCCGCUGAAAUGUAUAAGCAGGACAAACAGGUCCCGGCGAGUGACUUAGUAAGUGUCGUGAAGACGUAGACCAGUCAGCAGACAGGCCUUGCCCUGUUCACCCAGACCUCCCCAUCUGGUGUGAUCUCUUGGUUGACCU